GUUUUAUUGGUGUGUAUUGCGUUAAGUUUAGGACUUAAAGAUACUUUAUAGUAUAAAAUG
RNAcentral lists this transfer RNA (60 nucleotides) under Spinibdella lignicola. Its description in RNAcentral is "tRNA-Leu". The record is from RNAcentral. Lineage: Eukaryota; Metazoa; Arthropoda; Arachnida; Trombidiformes; Bdellidae.